UUGUUUUUCCAUGUAACAGAUUUACCUUCAUUGUGUUUCUUUUUUUCUGUCAGACCAUCAAUGCCUACAUGUUCCAUCUGGAUCGGAAUUUUAACAUCCAGUCAACUGAGCAGCUUUCUACAUUGACACCUUUAAAAUUACUGGCAUUUGGGGGAGCAAGAAAUCAAAACUUAAGAUAGAUCCAGUGAUGUACAAGUACAUUAUUGGCAUCAUCAAUGAACACAACCACUGGACUGUGACGGUUGUGCUGCCAUCCCAGAAGAGGGCUCUGUUCCUCGACCCAAUGGGGGAAAGGGCCAGAAAGGUUCAAAGAUGCCAGGGGUUGACAAGAUCAUUCCUGAGAGAGAAGGGGUGUAAUAUCUCCAGAUGGGCGUGUGGUACCCUUCCUCACCCAUGCCAACAAGAUGUUACUUCUUGUGGGGUCUUUGCCUUGAAAUUUGCUGAAUGUGUUCUGAAGGAGGAGUUGUUUGUCUUUUCAAAUACGGACAAAGAUGUUUAACAUCAUGAGAGAAGAAAUAGCAGUCACUCUCCUCCAAAACACUGAUGACAUGAGCUAACUGUGCCACUUCUGUGGGGAGGUGGACAAUAAUGAGGAAGACACUAACUAGAUUGGUUGUGACCGCUGCCCACGUUGGCUCCACCAGUCCUGUAUGAAAACCAUCCCAUCAUUGGAGGAUUAUGUCUGCGCUACCUGUCAGGACUAGGUUAGGCUUGAGUUCCAGGCGGGAUCACCUGGAAAACUUUCCAUAAAAUGUGGACUAAAUGUUCAGUCGAGCUGUUGCAGCUUUCCAAUUAGUUUCUGUUAUUUAUUAUCUUUUUAUAUUUGAUUUAUUAAAAAACAUGAGCUGGCGCACAUCCAGAAACAUGAGUUGUGUGGAGGUGCUGACUA
Molecule: long non-coding RNA, 889 nt
Organism: Oncorhynchus gorbuscha (pink salmon)
Lineage: Eukaryota; Metazoa; Chordata; Actinopteri; Salmoniformes; Salmonidae
Exons: 7
Source: RefSeq, a predicted model, not a curated record